Molecule: ribosomal RNA, 434 nt
Filed under: uncultured Lachnospiraceae bacterium
Lineage: Bacteria; Bacillati; Bacillota; Clostridia; Lachnospirales; Lachnospiraceae
Also listed under: 1 other name
Description: bacterial SSU rRNA
Rfam family: Bacterial small subunit ribosomal RNA
Source: RNAcentral
ACGGGAGGCAGCAGUGGGGAAUAUUGCACAAUGGGGGAAACCCUGAUGCAGCGACGCCGCGUGAGUGAAGAAGUAUUUCGGUAUGUAAAGCUCUAUCAGCAGGGAAGAAAAUGACGGUACCUGACUAAGAAGCCCCGGCUAACUACGUGCCAGCAGCCGCGGUAAUACGUAGGGGGCAAGCGUUAUCCGGAUUUACUGGGUGUAAAGGGAGCGUAGGUGGCAAGGCAAGUCAGAAGUGAAAACCCGAGGCUUAACUUCGGGAUUGCUUUUGAAACUGUUUAGCUUGAGUGCAGGAGGGGUAAGCGGAAUUCCUAGUGUAGCGGUGAAAUGCGUAGAUAUUAGGAAGAACACCGGUGGCGAAGGCGGCUUACUGGACUGUAACUGACACUGAGGCUCGAAAGCGUGGGGAGCAAACAGGAUUAGAUACCCUGGUA